GCUGGGCACAGUGGUGCACGCCUGUAAUCCCAGUGGCUCAGGAGGCUGAGGCAGGAGGAUCGUGAGUUCAAAGCCAGCCUCAGCAAAAGCAAGGCGCUAAGCAACUCAGUGAGACCCUGUCUCCA
RNAcentral lists this small RNA (125 nucleotides) under Marmota monax (woodchuck). The record is from RNAcentral. Lineage: Eukaryota; Metazoa; Chordata; Mammalia; Rodentia; Sciuridae.